RNAcentral lists this ribosomal RNA (274 nucleotides) under uncultured bacterium. RNAcentral describes it as "partial 16S ribosomal RNA". It matches the Rfam family "Bacterial small subunit ribosomal RNA", at positions 523 to 796 of the family's 1533-position model. The record is from RNAcentral.
AUACGUACCGUACAAACGUUAUUCGGAAUCACUGGGCUUAAAGGGUGCGUAGGCGGUGCGGUCAGUUGGGUGUGAAAUCCCUCGGCUCAACCGAGGAACUGCGCCCAAUACUGCCGUACUCGAGGGAGACAGAGGUAAGCGGAACUGAUGGUGGAGCGGUGAAAUGCGUUGAUAUCAUCAGGAACACCAGUAGCGAAGGCGGCUUACUGGGUCUCUUCUGACGCUGAGGCACGAAAGCUAGGGUAGCGAACGGGAUUAGAAACCCGGGUAGUCC